This 409-nucleotide ribosomal RNA is filed under the name uncultured bacterium. Its description in RNAcentral is "bacterial SSU rRNA". It matches the Rfam family "Bacterial small subunit ribosomal RNA", at positions 354 to 777 of the family's 1533-position model. The record is from RNAcentral.
GUAGGGAAUUUUCGUCAAUGGGCGCAAGCCUGACCCAGCAACGCCGCGUGAAGGAAGAAGGCUUUCGGGUUGUAAACUUCUUUUAAGAGGGACGAAGGACGUGACGGUACCUCUUGAAUAAGCCACGGCUAACUACGUGCCAGCAGCCGCGGUAAUACGUAGGUGGCAAGCGUUAUCCGGAUUUAUUGGGUGUAAAGGGCGUGUAGGCGGGACUGCAAGUCAGAUGUGAAAACCAUGGGCUCAACCCAUGGCCUGCAUUUGAAACUGUAGUUCUUGAGUGCUGGAGAGGCAAUCGGAAUUCCGUGUGUAGCGGUGAAAUGCGUAGAUAUACGGAGGAACACCAGUGGCGAAGGCGGAUUGCUGGACAGUAACUGACGCUGAGGCGCGAAAGCGUGGGGAGCAAACAGGA